Molecule: non-coding RNA, 418 nt
Filed under: Bacillus methanolicus MGA3
Lineage: Bacteria; Bacillati; Bacillota; Bacilli; Caryophanales; Bacillaceae
Source: RNAcentral
GGGGCUGACUCAUAAGAGUCUGACUCCCUCCAACAAUGACAAUAUAUAGAAUGGUUUUAUUAAUGGUUGUCAAUCUGUGUAAUGGAGGAGUCUGACCCUUUACUUUCGAGUCAGCCUCUUUCUUUCAAGCACGGCGUAUACCAAGUUUCCUUACUCGUUCUCUAAUAGUUGAAAUUACAAUUGAACUAGCAAGCCAUAAUACUAGUCCUGCGAAUAUACUCAAAAUCCAGUUGUGGCUAGCCUUCAAUACUGCGAGUACAGUCGAAACGCAAACAACUCCACCAAUCAUUCCAUAAAUUGAUCCUUGAGCAAUUUUAGCUGCCUUCUUUGAGCCUGAAGAAACACCCACCAUUAAGACAGCUGUAAGCAUGACAGCCGGAAAUGCCGCAAAGAUUCCGGCAAGUAUUUUCCACGGGGA